AGAUGCCAGACCUGAAUUGCCUUAUUCCAUUGGGCAGUAGGUUCUAAGAUGCCCCAACAUUAUAUUGUUUCUUUAGUCUGACUCUUUAAUUAGCUUGUCCCUCUCUUACCACUUCUCAGAGUUUAUCAUUGUGCUUAGCAGGGAGGAGCAGGGCAUGAUGAGUCUAUACCAGCUAGUUUGUUUGGACAGAAGUCCCUUAGAUUUUUAAAAAUUAGAUUGUUAGAUUCUUAGAUAUCUUUUAGCUAGCACAGAACAAGGACUUUCUCAAGGCUAUGCAAUAUCUAGACUCUUUUCUUCCUUAUUUUAUCUCUAGUUCAUCUCCAUUUCACCUAGGUUUUCUAGAGAAUCAUGAAUUCUCACUGAGGCAGAGAAUUCUGCUAUCUCUGGUCCCUAACCUGUAACCCAGCUCUAAGUUUCUUUGUUUCUUUUCAGCCCAUCAAUUGGUCCGGUUGAACAAAAGAGGCUUCUAUUCUGUUCCCCUGGGCAACUCAAAAGUCAGGCAUAGACCCAGGACAAGGGAUCUUCCCUUUCACAGUAGCCUUUGUCCUUUGAAGACAUGCACUGUUUUAAAUAGCAUCUUCUAUCACCCUUCUGAGUUCACAUUUAAGUAGAUGGAGCAUUUUUGCUCCACCUUUUGGCCAAAGACUGUGCCUUGAAGGUUGGGAUUACAUCCCCUAGUACCAAGCAGAGUGCCAAGCACCAAACAGCAUUUAUCUGUCAUAAAUGUGUGUUAAGUGCAGGAAUAAAAGGCGGGCUGUUACUAUUUCUUCCAUCGUGUGAAUGGGUUCAGCAUGACAAUAAUAGGUCUGGAGGGACUCUAAAAGGUCAAUUAGUUCAUUUUUCUGCUUCUGUCCAAGAACACAUACCAGAUAACUAGGUAGCUAGUCUGAUUUUAAGUAUAUAAAAGGAAAGAAAAUUACAGUUUCCUCUGGUAAUCCAUUCCAGUGUUUAACAACUCUCAUUGUCAGCAAGAUUUUCUUUAUAUCUAGCCUAAAGCUCCCACACUGCAUUCUUCAACUUUAGCAAGUAAAAAUGUGCAACCAGGAUUUAAAUGGUUUUUAUUUCUUUAAUUACUCUUGAGCAAGUAUUUAUAGGCCAAAUACUUUUCUAUGUGUAGUUUCAUAGGCUUUUCUUAAUCAGAAGGUAUGUGCACUUACCUGUCCUUGUCACUUAGUUCCAAACCGCCACUGCCCUGGUAUUGGCUCUUUACUGUGGUAUAUUGAUUGCAUUAAUGGUUUCAAUUUGCACCAUCUCUUUUGGUUGAGCCCUCCCACUUUAGCUCUGGGCUUAGCCAUGUGACUUGCUUUGACCAAUGGGACCACAGUCAGCUAGGUGUGAGCAAAGACUUGAAAAAUGGCUUGCAUAUCCUCUUUUCUGGUGAGAACAUGAGAACAUGCCCAGUUUAACCUGCUAGAGAGAUAAGACUAUCUGGAUGGAUAAGAUAACCUACCUGGAGAAGAACUGAGUCUUCUGAGCAAAAAUUGACACUCUCCUUAGGAAUAACUUCCUAGCUCUGGUGGCAGUCAACCUCAGGAAUAGGUUCCCCAUGCUGCUGCUUAUGAAACAGAGUAACUGAACUAUUCCAGACCUUCAAUCCCACCUACCUUUCUUGGAAAUGACACUGCUGCCACCUACUAUGAAUGGGAGACAGAAACCUGGGACAGAUUCCCCAGGUCUCUGAUGCUGAAUGUGCCCUGGAGAGAGAUGUGGAUGCUCACAGUGGCCCAGCAUGGUUCUUGGCACUGGUGCUUGGAGGAGGCAGGGGGACUACAGAGCCUGAGGAGAUAAGUAGCAAGCUGCUGGCUUCCAAGUGGUGCAGAGUGGCUCCAAGUCUUCCUAUGUGACUCAUCACUCUUCAGAGUUUUUCCUAAAGUUCAAGGCUAAGUAGACAAAUCUUGUCCACAGAUGAACUUAUAACAGAGCUUUUAUUCUUUUACUGGGUCUCAGCUUCUCCCUAUUUAUGUCAAUCAUUCUGAUCACUAAAAUUUAUACAGUAUUGCUGCAUAUGAUUUUGUUUCAUUUUCCUGUAAAUGUAGAAAGUGAUUAAAACAAGACUCAUCCUGUAGUACUUGAAUUCAAGCAAUAAAGGCUCAUGGCAACAACAGCAGAGUAAGCAUCAAUGAUUCACACCGUGAGAUGAAGGGAGCUU
Molecule: long non-coding RNA, 2149 nt
Organism: Canis lupus familiaris (dog)
Lineage: Eukaryota; Metazoa; Chordata; Mammalia; Carnivora; Canidae
Exons: 4
Source: RefSeq, a predicted model, not a curated record